Long non-coding RNA from Eptesicus fuscus (big brown bat), 630 nucleotides. RefSeq lists it as uncharacterized. The transcript has 5 exons. The record is from RefSeq and is a predicted model, not a curated record. NCBI's taxonomy places the organism in Eukaryota, Metazoa, Chordata, Mammalia, Chiroptera, Vespertilionidae.
CCUUUAAAGAGUUUAAAUCAGUUGACCUAGAAAUUCCACUCCUCUGAAUCUUUAUUAGGGAAAUAGUCAAAGAGGCAGACAAAGAUUUAUGUAUACAGUUAUUCAUUUUAUUUGUAAAAUAGUAAAAAGAAGUAAAUAACCCAAAUACCACAAUGGGGAAACUGUCAGAGAAGAGAUCUGCCCCCAGGAAGCUGAUGGCUUAAUGGAGGAAGUGAGACACAUUCACAAAUAAAUGCAUUAAAAGCCCAGGAUCCCUGGGACAGGAAGCAGUGGCAGUUAAACAGUCACACAUCAGUGCUCUAGCAAGUGAACUGAGGUGCAUCCAACUAAGGAGCAGAUCCAGGACCAGAGGACAUAAAAUUAUCUGGGAGCAGGGCCAGGAAGGUGCUGGAACAAAAACAAGGAACCUGGCAUUGUGCACUUUAUCUGCAAAUGAAAAUCUUCUCAUGUAUUAGGACUUGGCUUAAGCAUUGCAUCUUCAGGCAAACCUCUCCUGAUUUCCCCAGAUAGCCAUUUCCCUGAAGGAAGGAUCUGUACGUGACUCCAUUCUGUAUUUUGCAUGACACCCGCACAGUGCUUUGUGUUUGUACAUAUUCAGUACAUGAGUCUUAAACAUCCAAGGAGUGGAAA